This 1217-nucleotide long non-coding RNA is filed under the name Monodelphis domestica (gray short-tailed opossum). Its description in RNAcentral is "lncRNA (ENSMODG00000045251.1)". Lineage: Eukaryota; Metazoa; Chordata; Mammalia; Didelphimorphia; Didelphidae. The record is from RNAcentral.
UGGAAUAUGGAGAUGUUGGAAUUAAGGUCAUUCCUCGUCCCAUUUCUUUAAACUGACCUUCGUUGGUGAUUCUGCCUUCUAAAGGUCAGGGGGUUUUCUUGGCAGAUGGUAGUUACCUAAAGCCACACCCUCAGUUCAACUCUGGUGGUUUGCAUAAUCUGCCUACAUCACGGGGUGGUUAUGAAGUUCAAAUGAGAUAAUGCUGGUGGAAAUGCUUUUGAGAAGUUAUCAAAAAACCUGUUUGCAUUAUUUAAUUACACUUUGUUCUUUGAAAAAAAUAGCUACUUCAUUAUUUCUGUAAGUAUGUUGCUACCCAUUAAGUCUUUUGACUUGGAAUUGUGCAAAGAAUAAAAUUUACUGAUUUAACAGUGAUAUCUGUUCUUUUUCUUGAAGCCUAAAAUUCUUUAUUAUAAUUGAUGAGUAAAGAAGACAUAGAGGAGAACCUACUGAUAAAGGCUGGAAAUAACAAUGUGAUUGGAAGUAAGAAGUGAGACAGAGCACAAAAAACCCUCCAAGUAAGUUAAGUUGGGAAGCCUGAGGCCAGUUGGAGGCAGGGAUGUGGACACAGACCUGUAUCUACAUUAUCUCUAACAAAGAAGUUGAAAAACUUUUUUACUACCAAGUUCCAUAUUCUAGUAGAUCUCUGUCCAGAAGAAUGUAAAUACAUUUUAUAAAUACAAAACUAUUUAAUUAGUAUGAGUGAAGCUAAAGUAUUUAUACAUAUCAACUCUACAUAAGCAAGAAAAAAGUGAACUUAAAUAUCUUCUGAAUACUAUUAAUACAAAAUGGUUGGAAAGUCCAUAAGAUUUGAAACAACAGUGGCACAGAAUUCAAAAAGAAAAUCAUUAAAAUUAUAUAUGACUAAACUUCUUUCUCUUAAUUAAAAAAAGGAAGGUUAUACUAAGUUUUUCUAAUUACAAAUGCAAAUAAUGCCAGGGUUAAGCUAUUAAAAAUUAACAGGAAAUAAUUUUUUUGGCUUCUAGGUAGUUUUCAGAAAGUACUUACCAAAAGAAGUUAUUUCCGUACAGUAAUUCUGAAAUGUUUUCUCUAAGUUCUUUGGCAUGAUUUUGGACAUUUAGGAGAUAAUAGUUAAAGAGAAUUAAGUAUUUUAAUGCAUAUGUACAAAGAACUUUUGGUGAUAAAAGUACAAAUAUGAAGAAAUUUUAUAAAACUGCAUAAAGAAUAAAUUAAUGAUGUCUCACUUUUAACCUUAGAGA